This 632-nucleotide ribosomal RNA is filed under the name uncultured bacterium. RNAcentral's name for it is "bacterial SSU rRNA". It matches the Rfam family "Bacterial small subunit ribosomal RNA", at positions 211 to 859 of the family's 1533-position model. The record is from RNAcentral.
UCGGGCGCUUGGAGAUGGGCCUGCGGCGGAUUAGCUAGUUGGUGGGGUAACGGCCUACCAAGGCGAUGAUCCGUAGGGGGCGUGAGAGCGUGGCCCCCCACACUGGCACUGAGAUACGGGCCAGACUCCUACGGGAGGCAGCAGUGAGGAAUAUUGCACAAUGGGCGCAAGCCUGAUGCAGCAACGCCGCGUGCGGGACGAAGGCCUUCGGGUCGUAAACCGCUUUUCUGGGGAAAGAGCAAGGACGGUACCUCAGGAAUAAGUCUCGGCUAACUACGUGCCAGCAGCCGCGGUAAAACGUAGGAGGCGAGCGUUAUCCGGAUUUACUGGGCGUAAAGCGCACGCAGGCGGCUCCGUGAGUCGGACGUGAAAGCUCUCGGCUUAACCGGGAGAGGCCGUUCGAUACUGCGGGGCUUGAGGUAGGGAGAGGAAUGCGGAAUUCCCGGUGUAGUGGUGGAAUGCGUAGAUAUCGGGAGGAACACCUGUGGCGAAAGCGGCAUUCUGGCCCUCACCUGACGCUGAGGUGCGAAAGCGUGGGUAGCAAACAGGAUUAGAUACCCUGGUAGUCCACGCCGUAAACGAUGCCAACUGGGUGUCGGUAGUUUUACACUAUCGGUGCCGAAGCUAACGCG